RNAcentral lists this long non-coding RNA (494 nucleotides) under Canis lupus familiaris (dog). RNAcentral describes it as "lncRNA (ENSCAFG00000048654.2)". Lineage: Eukaryota; Metazoa; Chordata; Mammalia; Carnivora; Canidae. The record is from RNAcentral.
CAAUUGUCUCAAUUCUCAGCCAUUGUCUCUUUCCUUUUGUUUGUAGGCCCCAGAACAAUACCCUCCUUCUUCUUAGCCAUCAUUUUGAAUAUUAGUAACCCUAGGACAUGAUUAUGGCGGCUUGGUGGAAAGUCCUAUUUGCUUUCUUACUCAAAAUGAUUCUUCCUAAAGAAAAAUCCUUUAAUCAUCUAGUAACACUUAUUAGCCCCAAUACACCACAUACACCCAAAGUAUUUGUAAAAUUAUGUUUUGGAAUUUAAUUUUUUAAAUUGCAUUAUAUUAUGCGCUAUAUCACAAUUUUAAAAUAAUUGGAUCGAUCAUAAUUUCUAGAUUUUCCGUAAGAAAAAAGAAAUCUAAUCAAAUAAUGUUACAUGGACAACACACACCAGAGAUUAAUGAUCAAUAUUUUGAAAAUAGUAAUAGUAGUCUCUGAACUAUUGGAAAAUCUCCUUUUCUCCUCUGUGUUAAUAACAUCAUAAAAAUGUUUAAAAACU